Molecule: non-coding RNA, 1290 nt
Organism: Mus caroli (Ryukyu mouse)
Lineage: Eukaryota; Metazoa; Chordata; Mammalia; Rodentia; Muridae
Source: RefSeq, a predicted model, not a curated record
ACAAUCGCCUUGACUUCAUUCCCUUUCCUCUUUAGGAAGUCAUUCUUCCAAGAUUCAAGAAGGGGUGCCCUUGCUUGCCUCUUAGAUGAUUCGUCCCUGCAUCCCUCUCCAGUUCCACGAGAUCAUUCUUAACUCUAAGGCAGUUAUGGAAAGGAAGGUAAGUGGUUGGAUUAGGUUAGGUGUUCUGUCUAGGCCUGGGUCAAUGAUGACAACCCAAAGUCAUGAAGAGAGGUGAUGACAUAAAAUUCAUGCUCAAUAGGAUUACGCUGAGGCCCAACCAGGGCGACAGGGUUACAAGAGGUCCGUUGACUCCUUGGGAGGGCUCUUGGGUGACUUCCCUGAGGUCCUCAGAUGACCUUGCCCUGUUUUCCAUCGCAGGAAAUCUGGACAUCUAAGGUGCACGUUGGUUGGCAAACACUGCAUGCCAACAAGCACCUUGUCCCACUUUCGAACCUUGGGCAUUUCUGCAAGGCACGCCCCUUGCUCAUGACCCUGUCUUUUCUGCUGUCUUGCAUUCAUCUCACAUGCCACCUUGGAGGGCAGAGAACAACAGAUAAUUAGUCAUCUCACAAGCCACCUUGGAGGGUAGAGAACCACAGAUAAUCAGUCAUCUUACAUUCCACCUUGGAAGUCAGAGAACUACAGAUAAUCAGUCAUCUCAUAUUCCAACUGGAAGGCAGGGAAUCACAGAUAAUCAGUCAUCUCACAUGCCACCUUGGAAGGCAUAGAACCACUGAUAAUCAGGAAAGAUAUUUUUCCAAGUUUCAAACAAGGGUGUCCUUGCUUCCCUGGAAGAACUUACUUCCCUGCAUACUUCUCCAGUUACAUGUGACCACUCCUAACUCUGAGGCAGUUUGAGAAAGGAAGUUAUCUGACAUGCCACCUUGGAAGGCAGAGAACCACAGAUAUCAGAAGCUCAGUCCAUUAUCAUCAUGACAAGAAUCAUGGCAGUGUCCAGGUGCAGAAGAAAGAGCCAAGAAUUCUCCAUAUUGAACUGAAGGCACAGACAGGAAGAGUGUCUCUUCCACACUGGGAGGAGCUUGAGCACCAGCAGCCCUCAAAGCCUGCCUACACAAUGAUACACUUCUUCUAACAAGACAAUAUGAACCUAUACUCAUUGGACACUAAAAUUCUCGCCAGACAAGAAAACCAACUGAUCUGAUAAAUGCUCCUAGGAAAAUAACAAGAUAUAAAGUCAACACAAAAAGUUAACAAGCAAUGUUGGGAGAACUGUUCUCAGGAUGUCUUCCAAGAUGUUAUCUACCAGCUGCAUGGUAAUUUCACUGAAAC